AGUGAACGCUGGCGGUAGGCCUAACACAUGCAAGUCGAACGGCAGCACAGUAAGAGCUUGCUCUUACGGGUGGCGAGUGGCGGACGGGUGAGGAAUACGUCGGAAUCUACUUUUUCGUGGGGGAUAACGUAGGGAAACUUACGCUAAUACCGCAUACGACCUACGGGUGAAAGCAGGGGAUCUUCGGACCUUGCGCGAUUGAAUGAGCCGAUGUCGGAUUAGCUAGUUGGCGGGGUAAAGGCCCACCAAGGCGACGAUCCGUAGCUGGUCUGAGAGGAUGAUCAGCGACACUGGAACUGAGACACGGUCCAGAGUCCUACGGGAGGGAGCAGUGGGGAAUAUUGGACAAUGGGCGCAAGCCUGAUCCAGCCAUACCGCGUGGGUGAAGAAGGCCUUCGGGUUGUAAAGCCCUUUUGUUGGGAAAGAAAAGCAGCAGGUUAAUACCCCGCUGUUCUGACGGUACCCAAAGAAUAAGCACCGGCUAACUUCGUG
Molecule: ribosomal RNA, 492 nt
Filed under: uncultured bacterium
Lineage: Bacteria
Description: partial 16S ribosomal RNA
Rfam family: Bacterial small subunit ribosomal RNA
Source: RNAcentral